Salvia splendens (bonfire salvia) is the source of this 87-nucleotide small nucleolar RNA. RefSeq annotates it as small nucleolar RNA snoR116. The record is from RefSeq and is a predicted model, not a curated record. The transcript has a single exon. NCBI's taxonomy places the organism in Eukaryota, Viridiplantae, Streptophyta, Magnoliopsida, Lamiales, Lamiaceae.
AGGCAGUGAUGUCGAAUUAUAUACCAUCAAACUAUGAGAGCCAUCGUUAUUGGCUUGUUGAUGCGAAUUACUAACUAUUCUGAGCCU